This 154-nucleotide ribosomal RNA is filed under the name uncultured bacterium. RNAcentral's name for it is "partial 16S rRNA". It matches the Rfam family "Bacterial small subunit ribosomal RNA", at positions 355 to 507 of the family's 1533-position model. The record is from RNAcentral.
UAGGGAAUAUUGGUCAAUGGGUGAAAGCCUGAACCAGCCAUGCCGCGUGCAGGAAGACGGCCUUCUGGGUUGUAAACUGCUUUUAUCUGGGGAUAAAAUACCCUUGCGAGGGAGACUGAAGGUACCAGAUGAAUAAGCCACGGCUAACUACGUG